GUUUAAUAAGAAUUUCAGCUUUGGGUGC
Molecule: non-coding RNA, 28 nt
Filed under: Cricetulus griseus (Chinese hamster)
Lineage: Eukaryota; Metazoa; Chordata; Mammalia; Rodentia; Cricetidae
Source: RNAcentral